RNAcentral lists this long non-coding RNA (7339 nucleotides) under Podarcis lilfordi (Lilford's wall lizard). Lineage: Eukaryota; Metazoa; Chordata; Lepidosauria; Squamata; Lacertidae. The record is from RNAcentral.
GUUCCGGGAAUGGGGGGGAUGAGCCCCCCUCCCAACCUGCCUGCUUCUCCCGGAAGAGGAGCUUCUGCGCCGGAUUGCUGCUCUGCGCCUUUGAUCUAGGGGCGCGUGCUUUCGGAAAGGGGAGGAGGGGCAGCAGGCGACACCCCGCCCCCCCCCGUGGAUGUUGCAGGAAAGGAAAGGAGAAUCUGGAGCGAGGACAAAGAGGUAAAGGAGUCGCGGGGGCGGGGAGGACAGAAAAGGACCCAGAGACCCCCCUUGGCAGCGGCGAACAUGGGGCGCCUACCUAGGGGGUCCCACCAGGGCCCCUUUGUCCCGUUUCCCCCACGCAGGGAUCCCUGGGUCCCUGUGGGAUCUGCACGGAGCAGGGCGGGUCAUGAAAGGGUUAACGGGCGCGAGGGACGCCUGGAUAGAGACCCCCGUGUGGCUUCCUUCUUGCAAGCUGCAUCUUCUUCCCACCCCAGAAACCCCUGCACUGCCCAGUCGCUGGGGUUCAAAUCCAGAGAGGAAGAGGGGAGGGGAGGGGAGGGGAGAGCCCUUUUCAGAAGCCGUUCUCUGUUUCCACAAUCCCACCCAGGAAGCAGCCAGAAACCUUUUCCUCUCUCUCAGGCUUCCAUCUUUAAUGUCUUUUCCACUGCCUGCUUCAUUGAGGAUGAGGAUAAUGUACACCUGUCAUCAGAAACAGGGGUGCAGAGUCCAUGGAAUGGCUCUCAGGAUUGAUAUAGAAGUUGCACCUCAAAAGCAUUUCUGUUCCUCUUAUUCUUUGUAGGCAGUGUCAGAAUGACUGACAAUUUGAGAUUCUUCCCAGUCAAAGGACCCAUUUUCAUGAUAGACAGUGCCUGUGGCUGGAGGCUCUACAUACAAGGUGUGCCUAUACAGGCCAGUGACUGCCAGUAUUAGCACAGGUGAGGUGUGUCACCUCCCCAAAUUUACAGACUGUAUGUGAAUGAGAAGUUGUGGGUGGGAUUACCCUUUAUGGCAUCUCUGUGAUUUUCUCCUCCACAAUGAUCUCCAGAGCAAGUCCAACAUACAAUUAGCAGAGCAGGGAAAAACGCUCAGAGACAGCAAAAAAUUCCUUCAGCAAAUUAAUUUGUGACUGAAGGCAAAACAGGAAUCUAUGCCUGCAAAUUGCAACCACGGCAAUUUAAAGGUCAGCACCAACAAUGUGAAUUGUGCUCAGAAAUGUACUGGGAGUCAAUGAAGAUCCUUUCGGACUGGUGUUAUGUUGUCUCAGCGGCUGCUCCCUUUCUGUUGUCUAGCUGCCACAUUCUGGAUUAGUUGGGGUUUACGAGUCACCUUCCAAGGUGGCCCCAUGUAGCGCAUGGAAGCAGUCCAAGGGGGAGAUCACCAGAGCAUGCACCACUCUGGGGAGACAGUCUCCAGGCAUGGAGGGUCUCAGCCAGCGUACCAGAUGGAGCUGGCAGACAACUGCCCUGGACACAGAAUUGACCUGCACCUCUAUGGACAGCUGUGAGUCCAAAAUUUGGUUUUACUGCUGUGGCUGCUUUUGCUGUCAUGGACUGGCUGAUUGCGGGGGCGGGGGCGAGGCACCAGCUGGGGGACCCCCAAGGGAAGUAGCUCAGAUCCUGGGGACUGGUGGUGGGAUGGCAAUGAGCAGAAAGAGGGAGAAAAGGGAGCAGAACGGCAGGAGAGUUGUUGCAAGCUGAGGAGGAAAGGGUUUGGUGAGCGGGAUGAGGCUGGGGCAGAGAGCAGUUCAGGAGAGGAGGGAGGAGAAGAGGGGCCAGGAGACCCAGAGGAGGCCGGCCCCUGAAGCAUCCAGGGAGACCCCCCCUCCUGCUGCGACCAGCUCCCCUCCCCUGGUCUCCUAGAGCACACAGAGAAACCCGAUUCAGACCCCAUGAUCCUGCACAUGAUAUUAAGAGGGUGUUUCUCUGCCCCCCAACAUGCAUCACUUGAAUCUCGUUGACAAUGAACUGUAUUUUCAGCCCAAUCCCCGUUUGGAGAGCUCUUAGGUGCUCCUUGCAAUCUCUCUUUGUUUGAACAACCCUGGACAAUUUACUGCCAUCAGCAAACUUUGCUUACUCCUAACUUUAGAUCAUUUAUGAACAAGUUGAAAAGCCACAGGUCCCAAUACUGAUCUAUAGGGGACUCCACUUUCUGCUUCUCUCCAUUCAUAGGACUUUCCGUUUAUUAGUACGUGUUCCUCCCUCCCCCCAUCCUUCUGUGCUGCGGAGGGAACCCUCCGGAAAAGUUAUGGAGUGAAUUUCACUUCCCCACACACCCAACACUGCUCAGCAUUCAGGGAAAUGGAAGAUGAAAGCUGGCCACAAUCCAAGAGGCUGAGGUAAGCAGAAAGCGAAGCAAAGCCUACUCACAGGGAAGCCCCUUCAGCUUCCAGCCCGUCUGCUCCCACAAUGGCUAAAGAAGAAUUGCCAUUUGGUCAUGGCGGAGCUGAAUGGAAGCGGGCGAGGAAGCCCCACAAUCGCUACUGCUGGAGGAAUAGGGGCACUGACCCCAAUACUCAAAGCUGAUGCCCACUUCUGGAAUCCGGGAAGGAAUUCUCCCCACACUGGUCACAUGCAGCUGGGCUCACUUGCCAGAGCCACCUGCAGGGCCUGCCAACAGUUCCCUUCAUCCCUAGUCUUGCUAGCUUGGGAUGGUGGGUUCUAUAGUCCAAAAACAGCUGGAGACCCAAAUUUGGGAAACCCUGUUCUCCCUGAAGGAUAAAGGAGGAUUCACUUGCAUUAGAACGUCAGGUGAGCCCUGCAGGAUCAGGCCCAAGGGGCCCCUGUCCUCCCAGGGGCCCAGCAGGGGCCUCUUCUGGGAAGCCCACUGGCAGCACUUAAGCACCAGAGAAGGACGGCUGCCUCUGAUUGGGGAAGCACAUUUCUUCUAGGGACACAUUUCUGGCGAAGUUUAGGGAAGUGUUUUAAUGUUUAAUGCCGUACAGUGGUAUCUCUGGUUAAGUACUUAAUUUGUUCCGGAGGUCCGUACUUAACCUGAAACUGUUCUUAACCUGAAACACCACAUUAGCUAAUGGUGCCUCCUGCUGCCGCCACACCGCCAGAGCACAAUUUCUGUUCUCAUCCUGAAGCAAAGUUCUUAACCUGAAGGACUUUUUCUGGGUUAGCGGAGUCUGUAACCUGAAGCGUAUGUAACCCGAGGUACCACUGUAUUGUGUUUUUAGUAUUGGGGUGGGAGCCGCCCAGAGUGGCUGGGGAAGCCCAGCCAGAUGGGCGGGGUAUAAAUAAUAAAUUAUUAUAUAUAUUCUUAUAUGGGGUGCCCACGAUGCUCCCCAGCCUGGCUCCAGACUGCCAGGGAAGCUGUGUUGUGUUUUGCUGCAGGUGAGCCUGCCCUGUGCAACGCUGGGCUCUUAAAGGAACUUGGAGCUCCAGGCGGAGGGGCCACAGCUUCCCCACACUUGUGAAGCAGCCAUGGGAGCGAUGGGGAGGCAGGCGGCUUGCGGUGGGGAGUGGCGUGGAGUGGAGGAAUCCGCUAGAAGGAGCUUCUGGAGCCUAUGCACCCCACUCCUUGCCUGCUCCCUGAAGGUUUCCUGAGCCUCUCCCCUUUUCAUUUCAGGGAUUGGGGGACCUCAGCAUCCCAGGGUUGCUUUGUUCUGGGGGUGGGGGGAAGCUAUUUUGUUUGCUGAGGGCAGGAGUCACAAUCCUGUCCCAUUGUGUUGUGUCUGGCUUUUAGGUAAGGGGAUGAGGCUCAGGUGGGAAAGAGUUGAGAAAGAAAAAAUCCUGGGGUGUGGAUUUACUCCGCUGCCCAGCUCGUCAGGGUGCCACUCCCCGGGGGUCCCUCUGGUCAGCAAAAGAAGGAAUCUCCAGCCACGUUAAAUAUACAAAACCUCGGUCAGCAGACCUGAUCUUUAUUUGUUGCAACAAGGUUCAAACACAAAGAUUGUUUGGUUGCAUUACGAGAGGGGGAAGCUGCUCCUUUAUCCCUUAUGGGGUAUCCAAGAGCCCAUAUAGAGUCCUUUUGUAGGUUCUUUAUCGGUAGGAGGAAAUAACAGAGGCCAACUACAGAAUAUUGAGAAUCAAAGCAGCUAGUAAGCCUGAUCUUUAUUGAAGCUCUUGCAAUAGGGUGUUCCCCCCACAGGCAGGAGAGAGGAGGAGCCCUUACAAAGGAGUGCAAGCCCUUAUAUAGACAUUUUGAAAUUGCCCGUCCUGGAGCCCAAGACCGCCCCCCCCCCGAAACAUCAUAAAUACAUCACAGAAGGGGUGUAGCCCAAGACCACCCCCAAGACAGCAUACCUACAUCAGAGAAGGGGCAGACUACAACAGAAAUCUGGGUGAGCUGUUUUUCUCCUGUCUGCCAGGUUACCUGAUUGGAUUACCUGGGCAUCCUGGCCACUCUUUUGUUAUGAUAGCUACUCAAUUCCUGAAUCCAGGUCACAGGUCGCAGGCUCACUCUAUUUAUAUCUUAAGGUAAAGGGACUCCUGACCAUUAGGUCCAGUCGUGACCGACUCUGGGGUUGCGUUGCUCAUCUCGCUUUAUUGGCCGAGGGAGCCGGCAUACAGCUUCCGGGUCAUGAGGCCAGCAUGACUAAGCCUCUUCUGGCAAACCAGAGCAGCGCACAGAAACGCCGUUUACCUUCCCGCCAGAGCGGUACCUAUUUAUCUACUUGCACUUUGACAUGCUUUCGAACUGCUAGGUUGGCAGGAGCAGGGACUGAGCAACAGGAGCUCACCCCCUUGGGAUUCGAACCGCCGACCUUCUGAUCAGCAAGUCCUAGGCUCUGUGGUUUAACCCGCAGCGCCACCCGCGUCCCUUAUUCAUAUCUUCUUGUUGUUUAGUCAUGUCCGACUCUUCGUGACCCCCUGGACCAGAGCACGCCAGGCACUUCUGUCUUCCACUGCCUCCCGCAGUUUGGUCAAACUCAUGCUGGUAGCUUCACGCACACUAUCCAACCAUCUUGUCUUCUUCUCCUUGUGCCCUCCAUCUUUCCCAACAUCAGGGUCUUUUCCAGGAGUCUUCUCUUCUCAUGAGGUGGCCAAAGUAUUGGAACCUCAGCUUCACGAUCUGUCCUUCCAGUGAGCACUCAGGACUGAUUUCCUUCAGAAUGGAGAGGUUUGAUCUUCUUGCAGUCCAUGGGACUCUCAAGAGUCUCCUCCAGCACCAUAAUUCAAAAGCAUCAAUUCUUCGGCGAUCAACCUUCUUUAUAGUCCAGUUUUCACUUCCAUACAUCACUACUGGGAAAACCAUAGCUUUUACUAUAUGGACCUUUGUUGGCAAGGUGAUGUCUCUACUUUUUAAGAUGCUGUCUAGACAAUGGGGAGGUUUUUAAGAUGCUGUUUAGACAAUGGGGAGGUUUCCCACUAUGACCUUGCAGAGAAAUAUUUGAGGUUAAUUUGGGAGGUACAAAAUGGUUCUAGAACUUUUUCUAUUGGCUUCAGACAUGUGGGGUGUGUGUGUGUGUUCUUAGAACAUUUAUUUUGUAUACAUUAGACCUUAAAAUUCUUACCAAAAUUACAUAUGGUUGCGCGAACUUUUAACACCUCUCCCCAUUUCCCACAAUACAGGGUCAUCGAUACAUCACAAAUAUGUCACAAAGUAGGAGUCUUUGGCAUUUAGAAAAAUGAGCCCGUCUCCCUGCCCGUCAGUAACCCUAUUUUCCCACACCUUUUAACUACCCUCUUCCCCAAAGAACCGUAAUAGUAUUCGGACAUCCCCCGAACUGGAAGGCUUUCCUGCGCUUCUCCUUUGAAUGCAUCAGGAUUCAAUCCACCAUCCCGAUGGAUUUCUGUCUGGGACAUGUGCUGCCCUUGAUCGCCUCCUGCCUCCUAAGGGAUUAUGGAGUCAGGGGGAGCCCUGGAUCCCCCAAUUCCAGAGGAGUCAUUAGGCGUAUUGGAUAGUCGGAGGAAACAGUCCGAUUCAUGGUAUCCGCUUCUUGCUACUUUUGCUUUUCUGCUUUUCUGAGCCUCCUUGCUGUUGUGCAUGGAAGGUGCUUGUGUCAACGGUCAUUGUCCUGGCCUUAGUCUGAGGCUGUGGUGGGGACUUGGGGUUUUGGGGGAGUCGUAUAACUGUCCCCCCUCCUGGUUUGAAGAGCACCAAUACCUAAAACACGGACGCACGGCUCGUGGCGUGGGGUGGGUGAGGGAAGGAUUUUGCAAUGUAAACAUUGGGGGGGAACCCCACUUUGUAAUUGGAUUGCGGGAUCAGCCCCUCCCCCGCUCUCCUGAUCCACAGAUGGAAGAGGGGAGGAGAGAUACCUUCCUCUCCCUCCCCCCAGUUCCUCCCCUCCCGGCACCUCCUUCCCUCAUCCCUCCCCCUCAUCCCCAAAUCCCCUCCCCAAUAUGUUGCUCCUCCUCCUCGUCAUCCGACCUCUGUUCCGGGAAUAGGGGGGGAGAGCCCCCCUCCCAAACUGCCUGCUUCUCCCGGAAGUGGAGCUUCCACUCCGGAUUACUGCUCUGCGCCGUAGCUCUAGGGCAGCGCGCUUUCGGAAAGGGGAGGAGGGGCAGCAGGCGACACCCCCCCCCCCGUGGAUGUUGCAGGAAAGGAAAGGAGAAUCUGGAGUGAGGAGAAAGAGGUAAAGGGGUCAUGGGGGGGGAGGACAGAAAAGGACCCAGGUAGGGACGCCGCGCCAGCUCCCCAAAGCGCCUUUCGUGGGUCCCGUCGGCAUGGCCUAGAUCCCUGCAUCCGUGCUGCGCCUUGGCAGCAGCGGACAUGGGGCGCCUACUGAGGGGGUACCACCAGGGCCCCUUUGCCCCGUUUCCCCCACGCAGGGAUCCCUGGGGCCCUGUGGGAUCUGCACGGAGAAAGGCGGGCCAUGAAAGGGUUAACGGGCGCGAGGGACGCCUGGAUAGAGACCCCCGUGUGGCUUCCUUCCUGCAAGCUGCAUCCUCUUCACGCCCCCAGAAACCCCUGCACUGCCCAGUCGCUGCGGUUCAAAUCCAGAGAGGAAGAGGGGAGGGGAGGGGAGGGGAGAGCCCUUUUCAGAAGCCGUUCUCUGUUUCCACAAUCCCACCCAGGAAGCAGCCAGAAACCUUUUCCUCUCUCUCAGGCUUCCAUCUUUAAUGUCUUUUCCACUGCCUGCUUCAUUGAGGAUGAGGAUAAUGUACACCUGUCAUCAGAAACAGGGGUGCAGAGUCCAUGGAAUGGCUCUCAGGAUUCAUAUAGAAGUUGCACCUCAAAAGCAUUUCUGUUCCUCUUAUUUUUGGUAGGGAGUGUCAGAGUGACUGACAAGCUGAGAUUCUUCCCAGUCAAAGGACCCAUUUUCAUGAUAGACAGUGCCUGUGGCUGGAGGCUCUACAUACAAGGUGUGCCUAUACAAGCCAAAAACUGCCAGUAUUAGCACAGGUGAGGUAUGUGACCUCCCCAAAUUUACAGACUGUAUGUGAAUGAGAAGUAGUGGGUGGGAUUACAGUUUAGGGCAGCC